This 301-nucleotide ribosomal RNA is filed under the name uncultured bacterium. Its description in RNAcentral is "partial 16S ribosomal RNA". It matches the Rfam family "Bacterial small subunit ribosomal RNA", at positions 509 to 807 of the family's 1533-position model. The record is from RNAcentral.
CAGCCGCCACGGUAAGACGGAGGGUGCUAGCGUUGUUCGGAAUCACUGGGCGUAAAGGGCGCGUAGGCGGCCUGUUAAGUCGGAUGUGAAAGCCCGGGGCUUAACCUGGGAACUGCAUUUGAAACUGGCAGGCUAGAGUCUUGUAGAGGGGGGUAGAAUUCCAGGUGUAGCGGUGAAAUGCGUAGAGAUCUGGAGGAAUACCGGUGGCGAAGGCGGCCCCCUGGACAAAGACUGACGCUCAGGUGCGAAAGCGUGGGGAGCAAACAGGAUUAGAUACCCGGGUAGUCCCUGUCUCUUAUAC